This 496-nucleotide ribosomal RNA is filed under the name uncultured bacterium. Its description in RNAcentral is "partial 16S ribosomal RNA". It matches the Rfam family "Bacterial small subunit ribosomal RNA", at positions 29 to 507 of the family's 1533-position model. The record is from RNAcentral.
AUGAACGCUGGCGGCGUGCCUAAUACAUGCAAGUCGAGCGAACAGACGAGGAGCUUGCUCCUCUGACGUUAGCGGCGGACGGGUGAGUAACACGUGGAUAACCUACCUAUAAGACUGGGAUAACUUCGGGAAACCGGAGCUAAUACCGGAUAAUAUAUUGAACCGCAUGGUUCAAUAGUGAAAGACGGUUUUGCUGUCACUUAUAGAUGGAUCCGCGCCGCAUUAGCUAGUUGGUAAGGUAACGGCUUACCAAGGCAACGAUGCGUAGCCGACCUGAGAGGGUGAUCGGCCACACUGGAACUGAGACACGGUCCAGACUCCUACGGGAGGUAGCAGUAGGGAAUCUUCCGCAAUGGGCGAAAGCCUGACGGAGCAACGCCGCGUGAGUGAUGAAGGUCUUCGGAUCGUAAAACUCUGUUAUUAGGGAAGAACAAAUGUGUAAGUAACUAUGCACGUCUUGACGGUACCUAAUCAGAAAGCUACGGCUAACUACGUG